Prionailurus viverrinus (fishing cat) is the source of this 740-nucleotide long non-coding RNA. RefSeq lists it as uncharacterized. NCBI's taxonomy places the organism in Eukaryota, Metazoa, Chordata, Mammalia, Carnivora, Felidae. The record is from RefSeq and is a predicted model, not a curated record. The transcript is spliced from 4 exons.
GACAGCACAGAGCCCAAUGCUGCCAGAACUCGCAAGCCGUGAGAUUGUGACCUGAGCUGAAGUCCUGCGAUUAACACCCGAGCCACCCAGGUGCCCUUAACUCUUCCCUCUUGAUAUUCGCAUCCCGUGCACUUUUCUCCACCUUGAUGCACGCUGACCAGUACGAUAUUAUGACUGAGAGAACAUGGAAACGAUGAGGUGUUACUUUGGAGGCUAGGUCAUAGAAGGCAUUGCCAGUUGUGCCUUCCUCUGUCCUGGAUCACUGGCUCUGGGGAAGACAGUUGUCACGAACACAGUUAAGCAGCCUCGUGAAGAGGUCUUUGUGGUGAAGAACUGAGGCCUCCUGUCAACAGCCAUCACCAGAUUGCUAGCUCUGUCCACAUUCCAUUUUGGAAUUGGCUCUUCCUGCCCCCACCAAGCCUUCAGAUGAGCGCAGCCCUGGCGGACACGUCCCGGGAAACCCUGAGCCACAACUACCCAGGUGGAUGGAGUCUUACAGCCGUGGUGUUAGGAUGAGCAGAUGAUGUCAUGUGACAUACCCAAUUUCAGAAGCUAGAGAGGAAAUAUUCAUUAAACUUCAAGUGUGAAUUGACACAGGCAUCAAAGGAAAUAGCACGUAAAAGAAACAGCACAGAGUUCCCCACUGAUUUUCUACAACAUGAGAACAAUUAUUCUACAGACUCCGUUAUAACUGCUCGGACAUUACCCGUUGCUCAGCUGGGAGAGCUCAGCCUGCAAGG